ACAAACCAACUUAUUCUGCUGCUCUCACAUUCUGCUCCUUGGUAGAAAACAAAGGAGAGAAAUUGGAGCUUCGGUGAUAAGGAAAAGAACUUCUUAAUGGUGCUUGUUGGCAAGGUUGCAUUGCUUUCUGACCUCCCCCUUUGAGCCAGUAAGUGGAUUGUUCUCAGAAAGAAUGGUUAUGGCUCUUGAGAAUUCCUUAAAGAAGUAGUUUUGGUUUUUGGCCAUUUUCUUGACAUAAGGUCUGGUCCUCUUGUCUAGGGCAACUUGGUGAUCAACAAUCAAUAAGCCCUUGUUGUCCAAGAUGUUCCUGUAGUAGUUGUUGUCUAGGAUCAUGGGUGUGCCUCUGUCAUUUCUCACAUACUGGACGGCUUUGGGGUCUGGGAUUGCAUCUGGGCACUUGUGGAGCAUGUGUUCAACAUGGGCAGGGUUCAAUGCAGGGUCAACCUCGGGGUAGAGCCGGUGCACCAGUUUCACGCAGUGGGUUCUACCAACACUAUGAGCUCCUAUUGAAAACAAACCAACCCAUAGUUAGGACUCAACAACAAUAAAUCGCUAGGUUAUUCAAACUUCAUCAUAUCAUGAGUACUUAUUAUAUGCUUAAGGUAAUUUAUGAGUUGGAAUAUCAUUUCAGUAUGAUCAUUUCCUUUCGAAUCUUUGUCUGGAAACUAUGGAGUAAAAAUUUAAAGGGUAAAUGAUUUCUACCGUCUUCCAAUGAGUUUCUGCUUGUAGAACAACUAAAAAAUUUUCUAGUAUCAUUUGAUUGUGCAUGUAAUACUUGAUAAUGAGUUAAAUACAAGUUUCAGUCACUUUGAUUUAGCUCUGACUGAAGGGAAAAAAAAGAAAAGAAACUAUUACCUAGAAGGGCAACAACUCCAGGAGUGUCAAUGCCUAUAGCUCCAAACCUUUCAAGGACAACAGACACACUCUCAUUAUGAUCAGGAAGGUACUGCUCCAGCACAUCAGCUCUGCUCUUCCUUCCAUCUCUUCUCCCUGUCUUGAGAGGGAUAUAAGGUCCGCCAAGC
RNAcentral lists this long non-coding RNA (1022 nucleotides) under Carica papaya (papaya). RNAcentral describes it as "long non-coding RNA (CPAP_LNC005402)". Lineage: Eukaryota; Viridiplantae; Streptophyta; Magnoliopsida; Brassicales; Caricaceae. The record is from RNAcentral.